Dicentrarchus labrax (European seabass) is the source of this 329-nucleotide long non-coding RNA. RefSeq lists it as uncharacterized. NCBI's taxonomy places the organism in Eukaryota, Metazoa, Chordata, Actinopteri, Moronidae. The transcript has 3 exons. The record is from RefSeq and is a predicted model, not a curated record.
GUCCGCAAACAGCUGCAGCUUCUCAGUAAGAGCCUGGACGAUCACUGCAUCCUUCUGACUCAGCCGUUCUACAAUGGGAAACAACAUAAAUCAUCUUCAGUUACCUUGAAAUUCUUUGAACCUGGAAGCUCGUGCCUCUUCCUCCUCGCUGAACAGCCUCUCUUCAGUAUGAGGACAACUAAGAGGAGACAGGACAGAAGCCAUUACAGAUGCUACCUGUCAACAGCCUGCCGUAUGUGUGUCAUCCAACUGCUUCGCUCCUCCUUGGAGGCUGUGUGGAUCUCGUACAUCUCCGGCUCAUUGGAGGAGGCACAGAUAAGAAACAUGGC